Molecule: long non-coding RNA, 963 nt
Filed under: Ananas comosus (pineapple)
Lineage: Eukaryota; Viridiplantae; Streptophyta; Magnoliopsida; Poales; Bromeliaceae
Description: long non-coding RNA (ACOM_LNC010038)
Source: RNAcentral
UUCUAUUAAUGUCUAAAUAUAAAGUCCAAUCCAACUAAAAAUAAAAGGGUACUCUACUCGACCCACUCCACUUAGCCCAUCCGGCCCGAUUACAAACAGAAAAGAAAAAGAAAAGAAAAAGAAAAGAAAAUUCGAUUAUCAUUUUUCCUUUUCCCGUCACUCAAUCGACUGAAAUCCUAAACGAAGAUCAUUUCCUCUUGUCCUCCUCCGCCACCGUAGCCAACGAGGUAGAGUUCCGGCGGUUGCUAGAUGUUUAAAUAAAUAUUGGUAAAUUAGCAGCACUCUUUUAGAUUAUAGCAACACUCUUUAACUGUCACUAUAUAUCUAGCGACCCCACAUGUAGCAACACUUUUCAAAUGUGUCGGUAAAUUUAGCCGGCAGCACUUUUUUGACCUAUACCGACAUUUAAAAGUGUCGCUAUAGACCGUNCACUACAACAGAAUUAGGUUAUAGCGACACAUGUUUGGGACACUUUUUUAUAUGUGUCACGUUUAUGUCAAAACUUAAAAAAAUUCUAUUAAUGUCUAAAUAUAAAGUCCAAUCCAACUAAAAAUAAAAGGGUACUCUACUCGACCCACUCCACUUAGCCCAUCCGGCCCGAUUACAAACAGAAAAGAAAAAGAAAAGAAAAAGAAAAGAAAAUUCGAUUAUCAUUUUUCCUUUUCCCGUCACUCAAUCGACUGAAAUCCUAAACGAAGAUCAUUUCCUCUUGUCCUCCUCCGCCACCGUAGCCAACGAGGUAGAGUUCCGGCGGUUGCUAGAUGUUUAAAUAAAUAUUGGUAAAUUAGCAGCACUCUUUUAGAUUAUAGCAACACUCUUUAACUGUCACUAUAUAUCUAGCGACCCCACAUGUAGCAACACUUUUCAAAUGUGUCGGUAAAUUUAGCCGGCAGCACUUUUUUGACCUAUACCGACAUUUAAAAGUGUCGCUAUAGACCGUUUUUGUUGUAGUGUUAAGACAAC